UCUAAAAUGGCAGAUUAAUGUAUUGGAUUUAAACCCCAAAAAUAAAGUUUAUACUUUUUUUAGAA
RNAcentral lists this transfer RNA (65 nucleotides) under Bradybatus kellneri. RNAcentral describes it as "tRNA-Leu". It matches the Rfam family "tRNA". Rfam says of the family: Transfer RNA (tRNA) molecules are approximately 80 nucleotides in length. Lineage: Eukaryota; Metazoa; Arthropoda; Insecta; Coleoptera; Curculionidae. The record is from RNAcentral.